AUUUCAAGCACAUAUACAAUUAUAACAACAAUAAAAUAUGCAAGCGUGUAAGCUCGAGAAAGUUUGCCAAACGCAUUGCGUAAUGCCAUUUAUUACUGGAGCCGUGUGUAGGAGACAUGAACGAAAAGCUUUCAGUGACCUCAUCAGUUGCGUCAUAACAAUCAAAACCACACACGCACGCACACGCCGAACAGAUUCCAACAGAGUUGUAAACAAGCAUGGAGCAGUUAAUAAAGUUGUUGGCGAAAACUGAAACUGCAUUGAAAGAUUGCUAUAAAAGGACAGCAAAAGACACAGACACCAAAAUCAUCGAGCUGAAUUCGCCGUCCGAAAUAUAAACGCAAAAAAGACUACACAUUGCUUCAAAAGCUCGGAAUUGCUUCUAUCGCGAGAUAUCACGGACGAAGCGAAGUGCCGGAUACCGUGUCCACUUGGCUGUUGAUUCUGCAAAUGCUGACGAUAGUGCCUAUCAUUGUCCACUGAUAUGCAGCUAGUGUAGGCAUGGUGUGCUACCGAGAGCAGCCUGGUGACUAUUUGGAAAAAAAUUUCGUAUUCGACUAAAAUGUUCGCUCCGAAUUGUUAAAAAUAUAAAUACACUCAAUCCUUUAUUCAACACUUGAAAAUUAUUCAGACUUACCCAUUCUUCGGAUGUUUCGAAA
Ceratitis capitata (Mediterranean fruit fly) is the source of this 659-nucleotide long non-coding RNA. RefSeq lists it as uncharacterized. NCBI's taxonomy places the organism in Eukaryota, Metazoa, Arthropoda, Insecta, Diptera, Tephritidae. The transcript is spliced from 3 exons. The record is from RefSeq and is a predicted model, not a curated record.